GCUUCGGCAGUGAAGGUGACGGGGA
RNAcentral lists this unclassified non-coding RNA (25 nucleotides) under Mus musculus (house mouse). RNAcentral describes it as "oocyte_clustered_small_RNA13922". The record is from RNAcentral. Lineage: Eukaryota; Metazoa; Chordata; Mammalia; Rodentia; Muridae.